RNAcentral lists this ribosomal RNA (254 nucleotides) under uncultured bacterium. RNAcentral's name for it is "partial 16S ribosomal RNA". It matches the Rfam family "Bacterial small subunit ribosomal RNA", at positions 524 to 776 of the family's 1533-position model. The record is from RNAcentral.
UACGUAGGGGCCCAGCGUUGUCCGGAUUCAUUGGGCGUAAAGAGCUCGUAGGCGGUUUGGUAAGUCUGGUGUGAAAUCUCCACGCUCAACGUGGAGGGGCCACCCGAUACUGCCAUGACUGGAGUCCGGUAGAGGAGUGUGGAAUUCCCGGUGUAGCGGUGAAAUGCGCAGAUAUCGGGAGGAACACCCGUAGCGAAGGCGGCACUCUGGGCCGGUACUGACGCUGAGGAGCGAAAGCGUGGGGAGCAAACAGG